GAUGAAGAACGCAGCGAAAUGCGAUAAGUAAUGUGAAUUGCAGAAUUCAGUGAAUCAUCGAAUCUUUGAACGCACCUUGCGCUCCUUGGUAUUCCUUGGAGCAUGCCUGUUUGAGUAUCAUGAGCAAAUCUCAAAGUCGAUCCUUUUGUUAAUUCAAUUGGUUUGCUUUGGACUUGGAGGCCUUGCAGAUUUCACCGUCUGCUCCUCUUAAAUGCAUUAGCUGGAUCUCAGGAUUAUGCUUGGUUCCACUCGGCGUGAUAAGUAUCACUCGCUGAGGAACACUGUAAAAGGUGGCCAAGAAAAUACUGAUUGAACCGCUUCUAACGGUCUAUUAACUUAGACAAUUACCCUUAAGUUUGAUCUCAAAUCAGGUAGGACUACCCGCUGAACUUAAGCAUAUCAAUAAGCGGAGGA
RNAcentral lists this unclassified non-coding RNA (414 nucleotides) under soil metagenome. RNAcentral describes it as "partial contains 5.8S ribosomal RNA, internal transcribed spacer 2, and large subunit ribosomal RNA". The stretch from base 1 to 120 matches the Rfam family "5.8S ribosomal RNA", at positions 35 to 154 of the family's 154-position model. The record is from RNAcentral.